Molecule: long non-coding RNA, 702 nt
Organism: Oncorhynchus tshawytscha (Chinook salmon)
Lineage: Eukaryota; Metazoa; Chordata; Actinopteri; Salmoniformes; Salmonidae
Source: Ensembl
UCGCUGUCUCUCUCUCUCGAUGUCUCUCUCUCUCUCUCGCUGUCUCUCUCUCUCUCUCGCAGUCUCUCUCUCUCUCUCGCUGUCUCUCUCUCUCUCGCUGUCUCUCUCUCUCUCUCUCGCUGUCUCUCUCUCUCUCUCUCGCGCGGUCUCUCUCUCUCUCUCGCGGUCUCUCUCUCGCGGUCUCUCUCUCUCUCUCUCUCAGUCUCUCUCUCUCUCGCUCUCUCUCUCUCUCUCUCUCUCUCGCAGUCUCUCUCUCUCUCGCAGUCUCUCUCUCUCUCUCUCUCGCAUCCUCUCUCUCUCUCGUCUCUCUCUCUCUCUCUCUCUCGCAGUCUCUCUCUCUCUCUCUCUCUCUCGCAGUCUCUCUCUCUCUCUCUCAGCAGUCUCUCUCUCUCUCUCUCGCAGUCUCUCUCUCUCUCUCUCUCGCAGUCUCUCUCUCUCUCUCUCUCGCAGUCUCUCUCUCUCUCUCUCGCAGUCUCUCUCUCUCUCUCGCAGUCUCUCUCUCUCUCUCUCUCUCUCUCUCUCUCUCUCUCUCUCUCGCAUCUCUCUCUCUCUCUCUCUCGCAGUCUCUCUCUCUCUCUCUCUCUCAGUCUCUCUCUCUCUCUCGCAGUCUCUCUCUCUCUCGCAGUCUCUCUCUCUCUCUCUCUCUCUCUCGCAGUCUCUCUCUCUCUCGCAGUCUCUCUCUCUCUCUCUCUCGCAGUCUCU